This 488-nucleotide ribosomal RNA is filed under the name uncultured bacterium. RNAcentral describes it as "partial 16S ribosomal RNA". It matches the Rfam family "Bacterial small subunit ribosomal RNA", at positions 29 to 507 of the family's 1533-position model. The record is from RNAcentral.
ACGAACGCUGGCGGCGUGCUUCACCCCUGCCAGUCGCACGGAAAGGCCCCCACCUUGGUGGGGGUGCUCGAGUGGCGAACGGGUGAGUAACACGUGGGUGAUCUGCCCUGUACUUCGGGAUAAGCUUGGGAAACUGGGUCUAAUACCGGAUAGGACCAUGGUUUAGUGUCUCAUGGUGGAAAAAUUAUUGUUUUGGUGCAGGAUGAGCUCGCGGCCUAUCAGCUUGUUGGUGGGGUAAUGGCCUACCAAGGCGUCGACGGGUAGCCGGCCUGAGAGGGUGGACGGCCACAUUGGGACUGAGAUACGGCCCAGACUCCUACGGGAGGCAGCAGUGGGGAAUAUUGCACAAUGGGCGCAAGCCUGAUGCAGCGACGCCGCGUGGGGGAUGACGGCCGUCGGGUGGUAAACUCCUUUCGUUAGGGACGAAGCCACACCUUUUUGGGGUGUGGUGACGGUACCUUUGUUAAGAAGCACCGGCUAACUACGUG